This 255-nucleotide ribosomal RNA is filed under the name uncultured bacterium. Its description in RNAcentral is "partial 16S ribosomal RNA". It matches the Rfam family "Bacterial small subunit ribosomal RNA", at positions 524 to 777 of the family's 1533-position model. The record is from RNAcentral.
UACGUAGGGCGCAAGCGUUAUCCGGAAUUAUUGGGCGUAAAGAGCUCGUAGGCGGUUUGUCGCGUCUGCUGUGAAAGACCGGGGCUCAACUCCGGUUCUGCAGUGGGUACGGGCAGACUAGAGUGCAGUAGGGGAGACUGGAAUUCCUGGUGUAGCGGUGAAAUGCGCAGAUAUCAGGAGGAACACCCGUGGCGAAGGCGGCUCUCUGGGACGGUACUGACGCUGAGACGGCGAAAGCGUGGGGAGCGAACAGGG